RNAcentral lists this ribosomal RNA (471 nucleotides) under uncultured bacterium. RNAcentral's name for it is "bacterial SSU rRNA". It matches the Rfam family "Bacterial small subunit ribosomal RNA", at positions 329 to 792 of the family's 1533-position model. The record is from RNAcentral.
UUCCAGACUCCUACGGGAGGCAGCAGUGGGGGAUAUUGCACAAUGGAGGGAACUCUGAUGCAGCGACGCCGCGUGAGGGAUGGAGGUCUUCGGAUCGUAAACCUCUGUCAGCAGGGAAGAACGGUCACUGUGCUAAUCAGCAGUGAAUUGACGGUACCUGCAAAGGAAGCACCGGCUAACUCCGUGCCAGCAGCCGCGGUAAUACGGAGGGUGCGAGCGUUAAUCGGAAUUACUGGGCGUAAAGCGCUCGUAGGCGGGAUGUCAAGUCAAGGGUGAAAUCCCCGCGCUCAACGUGGGAACUGCCUUUGAAACUGGCAAACUGGAGUGUGUGAGAGGAUAGGGGAAUUCCAGGUGUAGGAGUGAAAUCCGUAGAUAUCGGGAGGAACAUCAGUGGCGAAGGCGACUAUCUGGCACAUAACUGACGCUGAGGAGCGAAAGCGUGGGUAGCAAACAGGAUUAGAUACCCUCGUC